Molecule: ribosomal RNA, 423 nt
Filed under: uncultured prokaryote
Description: bacterial SSU rRNA
Rfam family: Bacterial small subunit ribosomal RNA
Source: RNAcentral
UGGGGAAUCUUGGACAAUGUGGGCAACCCUGAUCCAGCGACGCCGCGUGGGUGGUAAGGCCUUCGGGUUGUAAAGCCCUUUCACCGGGGCAGAUGAUGACAUUACCCGGAGAAGAAGCGCCGGCUAACUCCGAGCCAGCAGCCGCGGUAAGACGGAGGGCGCUAGCGUUGAUCGGAAUCACAGGGCGUAAAGGGCGCGUAGGCGGCUGUUUAAGCCGAGGGUGAAAGCCCGGGGCUCAACCCCGGAACGGCCUUCGAGGCUGGGCAGCUCGAGACCGGAAGAGGAGGGUGGAAUACCCAGUGUAGAGGUGAAAUUCGUAGAUAUUGGGUGGAACACCAGUGGCGAAAGCGGCUCUCUGGUCCGGAUCUGACGCUGAGGCGCGAAAGCGUGGGGAGCAAACAGGAUUAGAUACCCGUGUAGUCC